GACGAACGCUGGCGGCGUGCUUAACACAUGCAAGUCGAACGGAAAGGCCCUGCUUGCAGGGUACUCGAGUGGCGAACGGGUGAGUAACACGUGGGUGAUCUGCCCUGCACUUCGGGAUAAGCCUGGGAAACUGGGUCUAAUACCGGAUAGGAGCCAUUUUUAGUGUGAUGGUUGGAAAGUUUUUUCGGUGUAGGAUGAGCUCGCGGCCUAUCAGCUUGUUGGUGGGGCAAUGGCCUACCAAGGCGGCGACGGGUAGCCGGCCUGAGAGGGUGGACGGCCACAUUGGGACUGAGAUACGGCCCAGACUCCUACGGGAGGCAGCAGUGGGGAAUAUUGCACAAUGGGCGCAAGCCUGAUGCAGCGACGCCGCGUGGGGGAUGACGGCCUUCGGGUUGUAAACUCCUUUCGCUAGGGACGAAGCUUUUUGUGACGGUACCUAGAUAAGAAGCACCGGCUAACUACGUG
Molecule: ribosomal RNA, 465 nt
Filed under: uncultured bacterium
Lineage: Bacteria
Description: partial 16S ribosomal RNA
Rfam family: Bacterial small subunit ribosomal RNA
Source: RNAcentral